AUUCGUAAUGAGGUGGAUGGACCUAGAGUCUGUCAUACAGAGUGAACAGUAGUGCCUCCCGUUUCUCGUCCUACACCUGGUCACUACCAUGUCCUGUACCACGGGUAUGGAGAAACGCAGUUGGGCUGGCACGGGGAGACAUACUGCCUGGUUGGUGGCUGCCGGCUCUACGGGGAUGUUCCUUUGGCCACGCCAGCUAAGGUAGAAGCAGAGAAGCCAGUCCCCAGACGUGCUCCGAAGAGAAAGCACUCUCUGGAAUGGUCGGACGAAGACCUGGGUUGCCCCAGACCCAAAAUCCGGCGAUUGGAGCUUUCAAGCAGCACAGGAAUACAAGAUGCUCCUUUGGCCAUGCCAGCCAAGGUGGAAGCAGAGAAGCCAGUCCCCAGACGUGCUCCGAAGAGAAAGCACUCUCCGGAAAUGCCGGACGAAGACCUGGGUUGCUCCAGACCCAAAAUCCGGCAAUUGUAGCAUGGUGCCAGGAGGCGGACCCCACAGAAUCUUGCAGGGGCCCCUUUGUGAGCUGAAGAAAGAAAA
Molecule: long non-coding RNA, 534 nt
Organism: Aethalodelphis obliquidens (Pacific white-sided dolphin)
Lineage: Eukaryota; Metazoa; Chordata; Mammalia; Artiodactyla; Delphinidae
Exons: 4
Source: RefSeq, a predicted model, not a curated record